Molecule: microRNA precursor, 96 nt
Filed under: Nicotiana sylvestris (wood tobacco)
Lineage: Eukaryota; Viridiplantae; Streptophyta; Magnoliopsida; Solanales; Solanaceae
Description: MIR6152 microRNA precursor family
Rfam family: MIR6152 microRNA precursor family
Source: Rfam by way of RNAcentral
UGGAUAGAUUAUUGUAUUCGACUGUAUUCACGACGUGAAACAGGGGAUUACACUGUUUUUAAACGGAAAGUGAAUCAAUUAACAUAAUAGACUCCU